This 462-nucleotide ribosomal RNA is filed under the name uncultured bacterium. RNAcentral describes it as "bacterial SSU rRNA". It matches the Rfam family "Bacterial small subunit ribosomal RNA", at positions 56 to 507 of the family's 1533-position model. The record is from RNAcentral.
UGCAAGUACGAGCGGAGUGAGAGAGCUUGUCUCUCUGAUUCAGCGGCGGACGGGUGAGUAAUGCCUAGGAAUCUGCCUGGUAGUGGGGGGACAACGUUUUCGAAAGGGAACGCUAAAUACCGCAUACGUCCUACGGGAGAAAGUGGGGGAUCUUCGGACCUCACGCUAUCAGAUGAGCCUAGGUCGGAUUAGCUAGUUGGUGGGGUAACGGCUCACCAAGGCGACGAUCCGUAACUGGUCUGAGAGGAUGAUCAGUCACACUGGAACUGAGACACGGUCCAGACUCCUACGGGAGGCAGCAGUGGGGAAUAUUGGACAAUGGGCGAAAGCCUGAUCCAGCCAUGCCGCGUGUGUGAAGAAGGCCCUCGGGUCGUAAAGCACUUUAAGCUGGGAGGAAGGGUUGUAACCUAAUACGUUGCAGCUUUGACGUUACCAGCAGAAUAAGCACCGGCUAACUCUGUG